Lagenorhynchus albirostris (white-beaked dolphin) is the source of this 719-nucleotide long non-coding RNA. RefSeq lists it as uncharacterized. The transcript has 3 exons. The record is from RefSeq and is a predicted model, not a curated record. NCBI's taxonomy places the organism in Eukaryota, Metazoa, Chordata, Mammalia, Artiodactyla, Delphinidae.
CCUCGAGGGAGCGGGAACCCAGCCACUUCCUCUCCUCACUUUCUCUUCGUUUUCUCAUGAGUGUGGGAGCUCCUGGGGCCUCACCCUGCGCCCUCCCCGCUAGGUGUCUGCACAGCCCUGGGCAGCCGCAGCCCCACCUCUACCCCCGUAACUCUGCAUCCUGCUGCAGCCUUUCUCUUAGGCCGCAGGUGCCUCUUUCCUGCAUCUCUACCCAGACCACUCACCUGCACAAGCAGAGGUUUUCGCCCAACCUCACACCAGACUCCUCACCUUUCCUGCCCAGACAGCUGCGUCUUGACAGGUGCCCCUGCCCCAGGCUGCGUGACCCCAGCCGUCGUCAGGGAUCCUCCCCAGGGACGUGCUUAAGCCACGUCCUCUGCUCAGCAAGCCGCAGUCCCCCAGUUCCUCCAAGGGGAACUUUGUGUGGUUCGUGGGAAGCAGGUGGACCCGUGCCCACUGAGAACAGCGAUGGUCAGAAGGUCUGGAGUCAGGCCCAGGCCCCGGGCCAGCUGGGCCAGGUUUAGCUCUGGGUAAGUGACUGGCCACCUCUCCAGCCCGAGACACGGGAAUGAGGGCGCUCGCCCCGCAGGGCCGUGGUGAGGGUUCAUCCAGAAGCCGGCUGAGUGUGGGAUCUCAUCAGGUUCAGUAAAUGACAGCGACAGUGAUUAUCCAGCCUCCUGAGGAGGGGCCGGCGCCCUGCCUCCACCCCACCCUGCCCC